RNAcentral lists this ribosomal RNA (255 nucleotides) under uncultured bacterium. RNAcentral's name for it is "partial 16S ribosomal RNA". It matches the Rfam family "Bacterial small subunit ribosomal RNA", at positions 57 to 305 of the family's 1533-position model. The record is from RNAcentral.
GCAAGUCGAACGAGAAGCUUUCCUUCGGGGAAGUGGAAAGUGGCGCACGGGUGCGUAACACGUGGGUAAUCAACCCUUCAGCUCGGGAUAACGGUGGGAAACCACCGCUAAUACCGGAUACGUCGGCAGAGUCUUCGGGCUCUGCUGGGAAAGGCCAGCAACGGUCACUGAAGGACGAGCUCGCGGCCCAUCAGCUUGUUGGUGAGGUAAUGGCUCACCAAGGCUAUGACGGAUAACUGGUCUAAGAGGAUGAUC